GAUGAAGAACGUAGCGAAAUGCGAUAAGUAAUGUGAAUUGCAGAAUUCAGUGAAUCAUCGAAUCUUUGAACGCACAUUGCGCCCGUCAGUAUUCUGGCGGGCAUGCCUGUUCGAGCGUCAUUACGCCCCUCAAGUCCCCUGUGGACUUGGUGUUGGGGAUCGGCGAGGCUGGUUUUCCAGCACAGCCGUCCCUUAAAUUAAUUGGCGGUCUCGCCGUGGCCCUCCUCUGCGCAGUAGUAAAACACUCGCAACAGGAGCCCGGCGCGCUCCACUGCCGUAAAACCCCCCAACUUUUUAUAGUUGACCUCGAAUCAGGUAGGACUACCCGCUGAACUUAAGCAUAUCAAUAAGCGGAGGA
RNAcentral lists this unclassified non-coding RNA (358 nucleotides) under soil metagenome. RNAcentral describes it as "partial contains 5.8S ribosomal RNA, internal transcribed spacer 2, and large subunit ribosomal RNA". The stretch from base 1 to 120 matches the Rfam family "5.8S ribosomal RNA", at positions 35 to 154 of the family's 154-position model. The record is from RNAcentral.